AUUGAACGCUGGCGGCAUGCUUUACACAUGCAAGUCGAACGGCAGCGCGGGCUUCGGCCUGGCGGCGAGUGGCGAACGGGUGAGUAAUAUAUCGGAACGUACCCAAGAGUGGGGAUAACGUAGCGAAAGUUACGCUAAUACCGCAUACGAUCUAAGGAUGAAAGCAGGGGAUCGCAAGACCUUGUGCUCCUGGAGCGGCCGAUAUCUGAUUAGCUAGUUGGUGGGGUAAAGGCCCACCAAGGCAACGAUCAGUAGCUGGUCUGAGAGGACGACCAGCCACACUGGAACUGAGACACGGUCCAGACUCCUACGGGAGGCAGCAGUGGGGAAUUUUGGACAAUGGGGGCAACCCUGAUCUAGCAAUGCCGCGUGAGUGAA
Molecule: ribosomal RNA, 378 nt
Filed under: uncultured bacterium
Lineage: Bacteria
Description: bacterial SSU rRNA
Rfam family: Bacterial small subunit ribosomal RNA
Source: RNAcentral